AUGCUCGCUUUCACAGCACAUGUUCUAAAAUUGGAACGAUACAGCAGACCAACACGACAACCCCUGCUUAACCAUGAAACAUAAACUAGGGAAAUAUUCUGUGUUUUA
This 108-nucleotide small nuclear RNA is filed under the name Mesocricetus auratus (golden hamster). The record is from RNAcentral. Lineage: Eukaryota; Metazoa; Chordata; Mammalia; Rodentia; Cricetidae.